Saccostrea cuccullata (small rock oyster) is the source of this 394-nucleotide long non-coding RNA. RefSeq lists it as uncharacterized. The record is from RefSeq and is a predicted model, not a curated record. Lineage: Eukaryota; Metazoa; Mollusca; Bivalvia; Ostreida; Ostreidae. The transcript has 2 exons.
GCUUACUGAAGAUAGGGCCUUUCAAGUGAAGGAGAGUAAGGAAAGAAGUUGGGGUAUUCCAAGAUGUGAAGAAUCCUCUCUUUAGUGAGGAAUUCAAGAUAUUGAUCAACUAUUCCCACAAGAAGAAGCAUUUGCCUCCAGGGUACCAUGAACGUGUGGCAUUAUAAAUCCAAAGGACAACUGAGGCCUAGUUAAAAGCCACUUUCCUGACAUUCAGUCUUAGACUACAUUGUUUGCUAACAAUAGGACUCAAACUGAUUUACAUACUAAGGAAAAACUCUGCUAGGGAAAUUAAUCUUAGGUGUCAUAUCAAUUAAAUGCUCUCAUUACUUAAUUGUAAUAUUCUUAAUAAACCGAAUAGGUUAAUUUGAAUAAAUUCACAAUUGUUUGAAAA